Podarcis lilfordi (Lilford's wall lizard) is the source of this 74-nucleotide non-coding RNA. The record is from the annotation of a GenBank genome assembly. Lineage: Eukaryota; Metazoa; Chordata; Lepidosauria; Squamata; Lacertidae.
GCCUGGAUAGCUUAGUCAGUUAGAGCAUGGUGCUGAUAAGGCCAAGGUUGCAGGUUUGAUCCCCGUAUGAGACA